UACAGAGGGGGCAAGCGUUGUUCGGAAUUACUGGGCGUAAAGGGCGCGUAGGCGGACUCUUAAGUCGGUGGUGAAAUCCUGGAGCUCAACUCCAGAACUGCCUUCGAUACUGAGAGUCUCGAGUCCGGGAGAGGUGAGUGGAACUGCGAGUGUAGAGGUGAAAUUCGUAGAUAUUCGCAAGAACACCAGUGGCGAAGGCGGCUCACUGGCCCGGUACUGACGCUGAGGUGCGAAAGCGUGGGGAGCAAACAGG
Molecule: ribosomal RNA, 253 nt
Filed under: uncultured bacterium
Lineage: Bacteria
Description: partial 16S ribosomal RNA
Rfam family: Bacterial small subunit ribosomal RNA
Source: RNAcentral